Molecule: long non-coding RNA, 1335 nt
Organism: Daphnia magna
Lineage: Eukaryota; Metazoa; Arthropoda; Branchiopoda; Diplostraca; Daphniidae
Exons: 5
Source: RefSeq, a predicted model, not a curated record
GACAGAACAAAGAAAUGAUCACUGAACGUAGUCCAUCUUGAAUGAGUCGUUACGUUUUCAUGGUCGUGACGAUUCUUUGUUUCUGCAUCGUCCUAAUUCUCUAUUUACUCGUAUUUAUUUUCUAACUCACUCAAGACAUUCAGUAUGAGUUAUCAAGUUGAUAAUCGCUAGAGUUUUCUGUGUCUGUCUAGUGGUUGUAACAGUCGUGUGUAUUUAUCAGAUGCUGCAUCAAUUGUGUAAUACGUUAGUGGACCACGUGGAUGGAUUAGUGCUGAACAAUCUGUAGACUAGCUUAAUGCUCAUUCACUUGUAUCACGUAUUUUUUUAUUAACUAGUGAGAAAGAAAGAAAGCGAAAUGAUAAAACGGUCAGCUGAUUGGCAUUCCGUGGUAUUGAUGGCGGGAGUGAGAAGCAAUGAACUAAUCGGCCAUUGUGAACCAAACGUCCGUCGAUGGCUGUACUGUAUUUGUAUAGACCAAAUAUCUUUAGUCCACUUUCAGGUACUCACUUGUAUUCGAUUGAAAAUUGAUGAAGAGCCGACUGGGUGACGGGGGUAGUCGGCGUGGAUGAUACCGUUUGCCACCAGGUAGUCAUCUUCAGCGACAGCGAAAUUGCGGAAAAUACUAGUGAAGACAUGCAGAAAUUACCGUGUCUUCUUCAAUGCUUUAACAGAGAUUGUCUUUUUGCAGUAGCUUACCAAUGUAAAAGACCGUAAGAGUAAUUUGUGGGUAAAGGCCUACGGACUUUUUUUUGUCAGAGCUCAGACCUUGUAGUUCAAUUAACCGAACAUUGUGAUAGGCUUUGGUCUUGCAGGUACCAAAAAAUAAUGGUCGUCGUUUCAUUUUCCAUCUUCAAUCCAAUGUAUGUAUAAAUAGAUAAGUCAUGAUCAAUCUUUAUUAAAGAAAAGUUCCCUACAUUUGAAGAACAUAAUAGACCCGAACCACUGCAUGUGUUCAUGCAUUUGUUGACACAUAAAAUUUGGUGACAGAUAUGGUCAUUUUCAGUUGAUAACAGUUGGUAUGUGACAGGAAUGUAUUCUGGUGGCGAAGAAAAACUUAAAACAAGAAAAGAUUUCAACUAAGUAAAAUUUAUUUAUGUUACAGUUGUUUGGUGUUAAAUUUUUCUAAUCCAUUGCCUUAAAAUCAGUUAAUCUUAAGUCUAGUCAACAGAUACUACAUUUUUCAUUUACUCUUUAGGUGUGUUUUAUGCAUUUGUCGUUGAGACUUGAGAGGCUUGUAUUUGCCAGAUUGUUUAUCGUAUGGAUUUAAAAUCGAUGCUAAUAGUGGAUUUUCAUCGGAGAAGUUGUAGACCGAUCAAUGGUGGUAUGAAAAUAGCC